AGAGGGGGGUGCUGCGGUCGCGCCGCCUCCCUUUUCGCGCCGUCGGCCCUCCGUUCCCUCACGCCCGCACCCUCUUUUCGCCCUUUCAGACAGUACGGGAACUGGUUCCCUCCAGCCGUCCUCACCUGUUCUGCUGUCCCCGGAGGCACAAUACUUGACAGAUCAGACGUAGGAGAUUAGGUUUUUUCGGCGUCAAAUGUCCCUGUAGGCAACCGCCCUAGACCGGAGCUGGCCGCAAUGGACCUAAGAGUCUGCCGUCACCUUUGUCGGUGGUGGUGUGCGGGUAGAGAGCGUGGUGAUUGUGAGGAGCAACAGAGGCUCGCUGACAAAGAGGGGCGAGAGGAUUCAGUCACUUUUGAGAAAACCGUUGGAGAGGUCAGAGAAGACAUAGUAUUGUAUCAGCGUUGCUGUGAAAAUCUGUUUACAUCUGCUUUUCGUCCCCGAGAUCUUUUUUUUGUCUGAGUACAGCUCUCCUCUCAGAGACACUGAGUCAGUUCUUUGCUGGACUUGCCCUCUUGGAGAAAGAGAAUAACCUUGAGAACAGAUAGCAACCUUAAUUUCCACCGCCCCGUCUUGCCCCCAGAAGGCGAACCUGUUAAGGGGAAGGGAGACGCUUGACAGCAACUUCAUGUGACUCUGAAGGGCACACUGGAAAGUUUCCUAGAUUGAAGAACUGAAGACUGGCUGACCCUAGAAUAGAAAAGUAGUAAACAUCCCUGUGGAGACAUUCCCCUGGGAGAGGAGGUGAAGAGGACCUACUAUCAGGAAGGAGCAGGAGCCGGAGGCCUGCCCUGAAGGAGCAGAAGGCCAAGAGGCAGGGCCACUUUGAGAGUGGACGCUCACCUGGGUGAAAAAACUGAGGUUAGAGUGUACAGGUUGCCCAAGGCUACACUGGCAAUAAAUAAUGCAGCAAGCUUCAAACCUCGGUCAGGAUGACACCCAAGCCCACAUGUGCUGCUUCUCUGCAUUCAAAUGUGAGAGGUCCAAUGGGAAGAAUUUGUUGCUACAAAAUAAAACAUAUAUAAUAAAAACACAAAGUCUGUGCAGCCUGCUAUGUUGCAGUACAAAUGGAA
Molecule: long non-coding RNA, 1073 nt
Organism: Dama dama (fallow deer)
Lineage: Eukaryota; Metazoa; Chordata; Mammalia; Artiodactyla; Cervidae
Exons: 5
Source: RefSeq, a predicted model, not a curated record